UUNUAUGCCAGUUGUCUAGGAACUACAGC
RNAcentral lists this non-coding RNA (29 nucleotides) under Mus musculus (house mouse). Lineage: Eukaryota; Metazoa; Chordata; Mammalia; Rodentia; Muridae. The record is from RNAcentral.